CUCUCUUUUCUCUUCUGCUCGGCCUGACUAGACAUCUCGCAUCAGCAUUAGAAUGUCCACUCAGACAUAAGACAUCAUUGCAGUAUAAGGAGACAUUCAUGGAGACAUCUUUAAGUGAAUGAGAAAGGAUACUGAAAGCCUGUUGCCACGUCUCCCCUGAGCCUUCUCUAGGCUGAAUAUCCCCAGCUCUCUCAGCCUGUCCUCAUAGGGGAGGUGCUCCAUCCCUUGAAGCAUUUUUGUGGCCCUCUUCUGGACAUGCUCCAACAGAUCCAUGUCUCUCCUGUAGGGAGGACUUCACAUCAAGAUGCAGUACUCCAGGUGAAGUCUCACCAGCGUGGAACAGAGGGGCAGGAUUACCUCCCUCAACCUGAUGACCAUGUUUCUUUUUAACUUGGAGUAAUUAUUUUCAAAAUUUUUAAUUCCUAUUGUUACACUGACACUUUUCUAAAAAUCUACACUAUUCUAGGGAAAUUUGACUUUGUUUUUUUUCAGAGAUAAUCACCUCCUUAAAAUACAAUACAGUUUUCUUUUUAUGAGUCCAGUAAGGCUGGAAAAAGAAAGAAGACCUCAUAUGCAGUCAUCUUUCAGAUUUUUGAUAGAGUCUACUGAAAUAUACAGUAUAUGUUUUGGUAAUGUGAAGUAUUUGUAAGAUUAUACAUAAUUUAGGAUUAAAAAAAUUAACUAAAGC
Long non-coding RNA from Gallus gallus (chicken), 688 nucleotides. The record is from Ensembl. NCBI's taxonomy places the organism in Eukaryota, Metazoa, Chordata, Aves, Galliformes, Phasianidae.